UUGGACGGCCAUAGGGGUCUGGUUCACCCGGUCUCAUUCCGAACCCGGAAGUUAAGAAGACCUCCGUACCAAGGUGUACUGCAUUAAGCGGGAAACUUGGUAAGCUGUCCACC
Molecule: ribosomal RNA, 113 nt
Filed under: Candidatus Woesearchaeota archaeon
Lineage: Archaea; Nanobdellati; Candidatus Woesearchaeota
Source: RNAcentral